AGAGUGCUUUUUGCAUCGUUCGUAUAAGCUUUAAAUUUAAUAUGCUCACCUUCUUUUUUUUGUUGUUGGGUUGUCAGUGAAUUUAUUGCUAACUUCUUGCCUAUACAUCCCUUCUUCUCAUCUCUCUUUCUCUCACAGACACAGACAUACACAUUAAGUAAUGAAUCACAAUCUCAGAGUCAUGGAACAUUUCUUUACCUUGCAGGAAACAAAAUCCCAUUUUCUCUUCCUUCAUAGUUUCUUUUCCCUACUCCCUUGAUUUUUCUAUCUCUAUAUAUAUGGAGUCACUUGAAAGCUCUCUUAAAACCCUUUUCUUGGUAUAUACAUUUCACCUGAAACCAUCUCUUUAUUCCUUCAAUUCUUGGGAAUUUUUAGGGCGUGGUGUUGCAUGUACUUAUGUUUGUUUCUUUAUGAACUAAGUUUUACUGGUGUGGUUAGUUUUUCUCUUGAAAUUAUGUACUACUAUAAAACUUGUCAACAUAAUUAUAUAUAACGAGAUAUUGGUGCGGUUCAAUCAGAUAGUAAUGCUCCAUAAGCAUAGAGCUCUAUUGUUUGAUUGAGCCGUGCCAAUAUCACGUAUAUGUUGCUCCGGAAAAAAAAAUAAAAGUGAUGUACUUGGAAGUUCGCAGACUCAACAGCCACCCAUGGCCCUAUGAGCACAUAAUCUCAGGGAGGUGAAAAUUGUCACUACACAGAACUUCCAAGUCACCUAUGGCGACAAGUGCUAGUAUUUUGUGUCCCUGUAGACUUUGAAAACGUGCCUUGCAAUAAUUUUGUCCUUGAGUUUUACUUCUACUUUCCUGAGUCAAUAUGAUCCAUGGGAUUCUUCAUCACUUUCUCUGUCACUCUCUUUAAUUUCAUUGACAACUGAGGGUUCUUAGCAGAGGUCUAAAGGGAGAUAAAGACUAUUGAAAGGGGAAGACAGUGUUGCAUUCAACUGUUAUUCUAGGUGAUAGUAGGGGUACUGAAGGGAUUUGCUUUCUCCUUUCUGGUCCUAUUAGGUUAUCAAACAAACAAGGGUUGCCGCCUUGUUUCUGUAGCCUGUAGGUGCCUAAUUGUUUCAAAGCUGAAACUCACCAUUUGACCUGGAAGCAUUCUUAUAUUCAUUAGCUUGGAUAUGGUAAACAUAAUGUGACCAAGUUCGAUGA
Populus trichocarpa (black cottonwood) is the source of this 1148-nucleotide long non-coding RNA. RefSeq lists it as uncharacterized. The record is from RefSeq and is a predicted model, not a curated record. The transcript has 2 exons. Lineage: Eukaryota; Viridiplantae; Streptophyta; Magnoliopsida; Malpighiales; Salicaceae.